Molecule: ribosomal RNA, 2202 nt
Filed under: Triticum aestivum (bread wheat)
Lineage: Eukaryota; Viridiplantae; Streptophyta; Magnoliopsida; Poales; Poaceae
Description: partial small subunit ribosomal RNA
Source: RNAcentral
AUGUUCCCAAUUCGCAUGGCAUGGCUGCUCCCACUGAGUUCAGCGCCGCAAAAUGAGUUCCGUCCAGAGCAUUAUGAAGCAACUGACCAGCACGUCCUUUUUUAUCUGAAAGACAGUAGUAGCCACCUUGAGAAUUUACAUGAUUUCCAUGCUCGAAGACAUCUCCACUCCAACAUUCGCAAUGUGGGAAAGAUGAAGCAUCUGCAGGUGCUCAAAGAAUUCCAUGUUAAAAAUGAGAGCAUGGGAUUUGAACUGACAGAACUUGGGGCAUUGCCAGAGCUUGAAGGAGGAUUGACUAUACGUGGUCUUGAACACGUGGCAACCAAGGAGGAAGCUACUGCAGCCAAACUGAUGUUGAAAAGGAAUCUGAAGGAGCUGGAAUUACUCUGGGGCAGGGAUGGACCAACUACAGAUGUUGAUAUUCUUGCAAGCUGCCGUGGGCUAGAGAUGAGCCAAACAGAGCUGAUGGACCAAUUACUGUGGGCUAGAGAUGUUCCAACUGCAGAUGCUGAUAUUCUUGAUGCUCUUCAACCGCACUCUAAUCUUAGAGUACUUACAAUUGCAAAUCAAGGUGGUACCGUCGGUCCUAGCUGGUUGUGUCUUGACAUCUGGUUAACUAGUUUAGAGAGACUCACUAUAGAAGGCGUAUGUUGGAGCACCCUCCCACCUUUUGCAAAGCUACCAAAUCUCAAGGUACUCAAUUUGAAGAAAAUUUCUGGAAUGCAUCAGUUUAGGCUGCAAUGUGGUGGCGCUCCAGGGAAAUGUUCUAUGCGCUUGAAGACAAUUGAGUUUCGUGAGAUGCCAGAACUUGCUGAAUGGGUUGUGGAACCUAAUUGCCAUUCCUUUCCAAGUCUUGAAAAAAUCGAAUGCUUCCGUUGUCCCAAUCUCCGUGUGAUGCCCUUGUCGGAGGUAUCUUGCGCCAAUUUGCGUAGACUUGAAGUUUAUGGGUGCCCCAAGAUGUCUCUGCCCUCCAUGCCUCACACCUCCACACUGACAUAUUUGGUUGUUAAAAGAGAUAAUUCAAGAAGAAACCUUCGGCAAGAUGGUUCAGGAGCGUUGUUGUCUUAUAAUGGAAAGAAAUUGGUUGUUAAUGGGUAUGGCGGUGCUUUGGCCUACCACAAUCUGGAUAAAGUAGAAGAUAUGGCUAUUGCAAAUGUAUCGCACAUAUCAUUGACAGACCUUGAAAAGUUUAAAUCCCUAACAGAACUAUCUGUCGGAAGAUGCGACGGUUUGUUCCCUGAGGAGCUUGAUGGCAGUAUUGUCUUGCGUUCAGUUAAGAGUCUGAGAUUAGUUGUAUCUCAUCUUACCAGCAGCAAAUCAUCAUCGUCAAAAGUGUUAAACUGUUUCCCAGCUCUUUCUGUGUUGUACAUAUAUGAAGAUGAAGAAUGUGUAAUGCAGUUCCCAUCAUCCAACUCACUGCAGAAACUUCACUUCUAUGGCUGCCACGGCCUGGUUCUUGAGCAUGUGGAGAAUGGAGGAGGAAUUCAGGAGCUCCAAUCAUUAUCAAUAUUCAUGUGUGGCAAAUUGUUCUGUCGGUGGCCCAUGGGAAUGGGAGAAUCAGAGACCAUUUGCCCUUUCCCUGCUUCCCUGAGGGAACUUGAUGUUGCCGACGAGCCAAGCAUCAAGUCAAUGGCUCUGCUCUCAAACCUCACGUCUCUCACCACUCUAAGCCUAAAAGAGUGCCGUAAUUUAACAGUGGACGGAUUCAAUCCUCUCAUCGCAGUCAAUCUCAUAGAACUGCAAGUGCAUAGCUGCAGCACCUUAGCAGCAGACAUGCUCUCAGAGGUGACCAAAUUAUUGCCUGCGGGUUACAUCUCUAGAUUGGAGAAACUCAAUGUGAAUAACAUCUGUGGCUUGCUUGUUUCUCCUAUUUGCAACCUCCUCGCCCCGACCCUCCACACUCUUGAAUUGGCGAGGAUGGAAAGCUUCACGGAAGAGCAAGAGAAAGCGCUGCAGCUCCUCACCUCCCUCCAGAAUCUAAAAUUUUCCUAUUGUGAGCAUAUGCAGUCUCUCCCUCAAGGGUUACAUCGCCUUUCUUCUCUCGAGGAGUUACGUGUCGUUUCGUGUCCAGAAAUCCGAUGGAUGCCCAGGGAGGGCCUCCCGGUUUCGCUGCGAAAACUAUAUAUGAAUCCUCACAGUGCUGAGAUCGACGAGCAAAUUGAGAAAAUCAAAAGGACAAACCCAAAUUUAUCCGUCUCUUGA